This 2902-nucleotide ribosomal RNA is filed under the name Shigella sonnei. RNAcentral describes it as "bacterial LSU rRNA". It matches the Rfam family "Bacterial large subunit ribosomal RNA". The record is from RNAcentral. Lineage: Bacteria; Pseudomonadati; Pseudomonadota; Gammaproteobacteria; Enterobacterales; Enterobacteriaceae.
UUAAGCGACUAAGCGUACACGGUGGAUGCCCUGGCAGUCAGAGGCGAUGAAGGACGUGCUAAUCUGCGAUAAGCGUCGGUAAGGUGAUAUGAACCGUUAUAACCGGCGAUUUCCGAAUGGGGAAACCCAGUGUGUUUCGACACACUAUCAUUAACUGAAUCCAUAGGUUAAUGAGGCGAACCGGGGGAACUGAAACAUCUAAGUACCCCGAGGAAAAGAAAUCAACCGAGAUUCCCCCAGUAGCGGCGAGCGAACGGGGAGCAGCCCAGAGCCUGAAUCAGUGUGUGUGUUAGUGGAAGCGUCUGGAAAGGCGCGCGAUACAGGGUGACAGCCCCGUACACAAAAAUGCACAUAUUGUGAGCUCGAUGAGUAGGGCGGGACACGUGGUAUCCUGUCUGAAUAUGGGGGGCCCAUCCUCCAAGGCUAAAUACUCCUGACUGACCGAUAGUGAACCAGUACCGUGAGGGAAAGGCGAAAAGAACCCCGGCGAGGGGAGUGAAAAAGAACCUGAAACCGUGUACGUACAAGCAGUGGGAGCACGCUUAGGCGUGUGACUGCGUACCUUUUGUAUAAUGGGUCAGCGACUUAUAUUCUGUAGCAAGGUUAACCGAAUAGGGGAGCCGAAGGGAAACCGAGUCUUAACUGGGCGUUAAGUUGCAGGGUAUAGACCCGAAACCCGGUGAUCUAGCCAUGGGCAGGUUGAAGGUUGGGUAACACUAACUGGAGGACCGAACCGACUAAUGUUGAAAAAUUAGCGGAUGACUUGUGGCUGGGGGUGAAAGGCCAAUCAAACCGGGAGAUAGCUGGUUCUCCCCGAAAGCUAUUUAGGUAGCGCCUCGUGAAUUCAUCUCCGGGGGUAGAGCACUGUUUCGGCAAGGGGGUCAUCCCGACUUACCAACCCGAUGCAAACUGCGAAUACCGGAGAAUGUUAUCACGGGAGACACACGGCGGGUGCUAACGUCCGUCGUGAAGAGGGAAACAACCCAGACCGCCAGCUAAGGUCCCAAAGUCAUGGUUAAGUGGGAAACGAUGUGGGAAGGCCCAGACAGCCAGGAUGUUGGCUUAGAAGCAGCCAUCAUUUAAAGAAAGCGUAAUAGCUCACUGGUCGAGUCGGCCUGCGCGGAAGAUGUAACGGGGCUAAACCAUGCACCGAAGCUGCGGCAGCGACGCUUAUGCGUUGUUGGGUAGGGGAGCGUUCUGUAAGCCUGCGAAGGUGUGCUGUGAGGCAUGCUGGAGGUAUCAGAAGUGCGAAUGCUGACAUAAGUAACGAUAAAGCGGGUGAAAAGCCCGCUCGCCGGAAGACCAAGGGUUCCUGUCCAACGUUAAUCGGGGCAGGGUGAGUCGACCCCUAAGGCGAGGCCGAAAGGCGUAGUCGAUGGGAAACAGGUUAAUAUUCCUGUACUUGGUGUUACUGCGAAGGGGGGACGGAGAAGGCUAUGUUGGCCGGGCGACGGUUGUCCCGGUUUAAGCGUGUAGGCUGGUUUUCCAGGCAAAUCCGGAAAAUCAAGGCUGAGGCGUGAUGACGAGGCACUACGGUGCUGAAGCAACAAAUGCCCUGCUUCCAGGAAAAGCCUCUAAGCAUCAGGUAACAUCAAAUCGUACCCCAAACCGACACAGGUGGUCAGGUAGAGAAUACCAAGGCGCUUGAGAGAACUCGGGUGAAGGAACUAGGCAAAAUGGUGCCGUAACUUCGGGAGAAGGCACGCUGAUAUGUAGGUGAAGUCCCUCGCGGAUGGAGCUGAAAUCAGUCGAAGAUACCAGCUGGCUGCAACUGUUUAUUAAAAACACAGCACUGUGCAAACACGAAAGUGGACGUAUACGGUGUGACGCCUGCCCGGUGCCGGAAGGUUAAUUGAUGGGGUCAGCGCAAGCGAAGCUCUUGAUCGAAGCCCCGGUAAACGGCGGCCGUAACUAUAACGGUCCUAAGGUAGCGAAAUUCCUUGUCGGGUAAGUUCCGACCUGCACGAAUGGCGUAAUGAUGGCCAGGCUGUCUCCACCCGAGACUCAGUGAAAUUGAACUCGCUGUGAAGAUGCAGUGUACCCGCGGCAAGACGGAAAGACCCCGUGAACCUUUACUAUAGCUUGACACUGAACAUUGAGCCUUGAUGUGUAGGAUAGGUGGGAGGCUUUGAAGUGUGGACGCCAGUCUGCAUGGAGUCGACCUUGAAAUACCACCCUUUAAUGUUUGAUGUUCUAACGUGGACCCGUGAUCCGGGUUGCGGACAGUGUCUGGUGGGUAGUUUGACUGGGGCGGUCUCCUCCUAAAGAGUAACGGAGGAGCACGAAGGUUGGCUAAUCCUGGUCGGACAUCAGGAGGUUAGUGCAAUGGCAUAAGCCAGCUUGACUGCGAGCGUGACGGCGCGAGCAGGUGCGAAAGCAGGUCAUAGUGAUCCGGUGGUUCUGAAUGGAAGGGCCAUCGCUCAACGGAUAAAAGGUACUCCGGGGAUAACAGGCUGAUACCGCCCAAGAGUUCAUAUCGACGGCGGUGUUUGGCACCUCGAUGUCGGCUCAUCACAUCCUGGGGCUGAAGUAGGUCCCAAGGGUAUGGCUGUUCGCCAUUUAAAGUGGUACGCGAGCUGGGUUUAGAACGUCGUGAGACAGUUCGGUCCCUAUCUGCCGUGGGCGAUGGAGAACUGAGGGGGGCUGCUCCUAGUACGAGAGGACCGGAGUGGACGCAUCACUGGUGUUCGGGUUGUCAUGCCAAUGGCACUGCCCGGUAGCUAAAUGCGGAAGAGAUAAGUGCUGAAAGCAUCUAAGCACGAAACUUGCCCCGAGAUGAGUUCUCCCUGACCCUUUAAGGGUCCUGAAGGAACGUUGAAGACGACGACGUUGAUAGGCCGGGUGUGUAAGCGCAGCGAUGCGUUGAGCUAACCGGUACUAAUGAACCGUGAGGCUUAACCUU